UCCCUCUUAGCUCAAUCGGUAGAGCGCGUCGCUGCCCGCAUUUAGAGACAAAACACAGUGUACGACGAGCCCCGCGAGGAGCCACACUCACGACGGGGGUCAGUCGUUCUGGUCGGCUAGCGGGAA
This is a non-coding RNA of Mycena albidolilacea, 126 nucleotides long. The record is from the annotation of a GenBank genome assembly. NCBI's taxonomy places the organism in Eukaryota, Fungi, Basidiomycota, Agaricomycetes, Agaricales, Mycenaceae.